AUUGAGCGCUGGCGGCAUGCUUUACACAUGCAAGUCGAACGGUAACAGGCCUUCGGGUGCUGACGAGUGGCGAACGGGUGAGUAAUGCAUCGGAACGUACCCAGAGGUGGGGGAUAACGCAGCGAAAGCUGUGCUAAUACCGCAUGUGAUCUGAGGAUGAAAGCGGGGGACCGAGCAGCAAUGUUUGGCCUCGCGCCUUUGGAGCGGCCGAUGUCGGAUUAGCUAGUUGGUGGGGUAAAGGCCUACCAAGGCGACGAUCCGUAGCUGGUCUGAGAGGACGACCAGCCACACUGGGACUGAGACACGGCCCAGACUCCUACGGGAGGCAGCAGUGGGGAAUUUUGGACAAUGGGCGCAAGCCUGAUCCAGCAAUGCCGCGUGCGGGAAGAAGGCCUUCGGGUUGUAAACCGCUUUUGGCAGGAACGAAACGGUGUCCGCUAAUACCGGGCGCUAAUGACGGUAUCUGCAGAAUAAGCACCGGCUAACUACGUG
RNAcentral lists this ribosomal RNA (492 nucleotides) under uncultured bacterium. Its description in RNAcentral is "partial 16S ribosomal RNA". It matches the Rfam family "Bacterial small subunit ribosomal RNA", at positions 29 to 507 of the family's 1533-position model. The record is from RNAcentral.